CAGUAGCCGCGGGAAAACGGAGGGUGCAAGCGUUAAUCGGAAUUACUGGGCGUAAAGCGCACGCAGGCGGUCUGUCAAGUCAGAUGUGAAAUCCCCGGGCUUAACCUGGGAACUGCAUUUAAAACUGUCAGGCUGGAGUCUUGUAGAGGGGGGUGGAAUUCCAGGUGUAGCGGUGAAAUGCGUAGAGAUCUGGAGGAAUACCGGUGGCGAAGGCGGCCCCCUGGACAAAGACUGACGCUCAGGUGCGAAAGCGUGGGGAGCAAACAGGAUUAGAUACCCCGGUAGUCCCUGUCUCUUAUAC
RNAcentral lists this ribosomal RNA (301 nucleotides) under uncultured bacterium. RNAcentral describes it as "partial 16S ribosomal RNA". It matches the Rfam family "Bacterial small subunit ribosomal RNA", at positions 509 to 807 of the family's 1533-position model. The record is from RNAcentral.